This 597-nucleotide ribosomal RNA is filed under the name Caymanabyssia cf. rhina TT-2014. Its description in RNAcentral is "partial 12S rRNA". It matches the Rfam family "Microsporidia small subunit ribosomal RNA", at positions 418 to 1205 of the family's 1311-position model. Lineage: Eukaryota; Metazoa; Mollusca; Gastropoda; Lepetellida; Pseudococculinidae. The record is from RNAcentral.
AAGCAGACCGAGUGAAAAUUUGAUCGGUUAAAAAGAAGGUUAGAGAAAUAGUAUGGAAGAAAAAGAUUAAUAUUCAGGUUAAAUUGAUAAUAUUAAUUAUAUUUUUGAUGCUUUCUAUAGCUUGAUGCCUUGAAAAUUUGGUUAAAAACUCGGAUUAGAUACCCGAUUAUUCCAGAAUGUAAAAUCUGAUAUAUCUACCUGGGUAUUACGAGUAUAGAUUGCUUGAAACUUAAAAGACUUGGCGGUGCUUUAUUUCUUUCUAGGGGAACCUGUCCCGUAAUCGAUAGUCCACGUUUAAACUUGCCUUAUUUAGGGGUUAUGUAAAGUAAUUUAUUCAGCUAGUAUACCGUCGUUGUCUGGCAAUCCUUCAGGGAUGUAUAAUAGCCUGGCGGAAAUGAACUUAGGAGUACUAGGUUUAGUUCAGGAUUUCAGAUCGAGGUGCAGCUAAUAAUAAGGUGGAGAUGGGUUACUUAUAGUUAUAUUUUUUAGAUUCGGCAUUGUAAUAUGUCGUUGAAAUCGGACUUAGUAGUAAUCAGGAUAAUUAGAAUAUCCUGAUGAAUUAGUGCUCUAAAGCGUGCACAAAUCGCCCGUCACUCU